Molecule: transfer RNA, 59 nt
Filed under: Podarcis lilfordi (Lilford's wall lizard)
Lineage: Eukaryota; Metazoa; Chordata; Lepidosauria; Squamata; Lacertidae
Description: tRNA.Lys
Source: RNAcentral
GGGCUCAGCGGCAAAGCGUUUGCCUUUUAUGCAGAAAGUCGUGGGUUCAGUUCCUGCCA